GCUGAAUAGCCCAGCUUCAUUGGCUUCAUCAAGAAAGCCAAAGCUUCCUCAGGAGAUUUUCAAGGAUUUUGAAUCUUCUAAUGCUCCCUCUAAUGUUUUAUCGAUUAGCUUUGGGGAUGUUGCUUCACUUGCUUAUAUUCCUCCACAAAAUACUUACUCCAUUCACCAGAGGUUGUUCAGUGGAUUGAAUGACAUAUACUGCA
Molecule: unclassified non-coding RNA, 203 nt
Filed under: Hevea brasiliensis (rubber tree)
Lineage: Eukaryota; Viridiplantae; Streptophyta; Magnoliopsida; Malpighiales; Euphorbiaceae
Source: RNAcentral